Molecule: ribosomal RNA, 484 nt
Filed under: uncultured bacterium
Lineage: Bacteria
Description: partial 16S ribosomal RNA
Rfam family: Bacterial small subunit ribosomal RNA
Source: RNAcentral
AUUCAACGCUGGCGGCAGGCCUAACACAUGCAAGUCGAGCGGAUGAAGGGAGCUUGCUCCUGGCUUCAGCGGCGGACGGGUGAGUAAUGCCUAGGAAUCUGCCUGGUAGUGGGGGAUAACGUCCGGAAACGGGCGCUAAUACCGCAUACGUCCUGAGGGAGAAAGUGGGGGAUCUUCGGACCUCACGCUAUCAGAUGAGCCUAGGUCGGAUUAGCUAGUUGGUGGGGUAAAGGCCUACCAAGGCGACGAUCCGUAACUGGUCUGAGAGGAUGAUCAGUCACACUGGAACUGAGACACGGUCCAGACUCCUACGGGAGGCAGCAGUGGGGAAUAUUGGACAAUGGGCGAAAGCCUGAUCCAGCCAUGCCGCGUGUGUGAAGAAGGUCUUCGGAUUGUAAAGCACUUUAAGUUGGGAGGAAGGGCAGUAAGUUAAUACCUUGCUGUUUUGACGUUACCAACAGAAUAAGCACCGGCUAACUUCGUG